Molecule: long non-coding RNA, 698 nt
Filed under: Struthio camelus australis
Lineage: Eukaryota; Metazoa; Chordata; Aves; Struthioniformes; Struthionidae
Description: lncRNA (ENSSCUG00000014984.1)
Source: RNAcentral
AAAACCCUUUCGGUGGUUAAUAUAUGAAGAUCUUUGCCAGGAGGAACAAGAAAAGGAAGUUAAAGGUGCCGUGUUCUUGAGGAGAUGGAUACUGAAAGAUGUGAAACCAGUAAAAUUCCACACUUCAUGGAAGGAAAAAUUGGAGUUGCAAGUUAAUUGUGACUGGAGACCUGGCAGGGUGGCGUGGCUCACAGUGGCUUAGAUUUCGAACACUGACUGUGUCAACACCAAGAGCUGUACGUUUUCAAGAGGAAAGAUCAGUUCACUCAUCUGGCUAAUCAUUUCCCCAAGAAAAUGCAAAUUUGUCCCCAAGAAAAUGCAAAUUUGAACAACAGUUUGGUCAUGCCUGGGUGUCUCAGUCUGGGAAGGUAAGUCUUAAACUUUCUCUUCUAGAUCCUAGAAAUUUGGAGGGGUUUUUUGGCUGCAGAGUACAUGAGAAGGAGGUAUGAAAAGGAAGGAAAAAUAGGAAUUUCUUACACCUGCUUCACCAUGCAUGCAUGUGAGGCCUAGCUGAUAACCAAAGGUUAGCAUUGAGCAAAUAAGAGUGAAUGGUAGCUUGGCUCAUUUCAUACUUAAACAUACCAUAAUUUAAGAUAUUUAAACAGAUCUGUAUUCCUUUAAAAUUAAUGAAUGUCUUUGAAGACCUGACAGCAGUGUGACUGAAGGUUAUACUUCUUUCCAGAAGGCACCAAGUGAUG